Long non-coding RNA from Gadus morhua (Atlantic cod), 679 nucleotides. The record is from Ensembl. NCBI's taxonomy places the organism in Eukaryota, Metazoa, Chordata, Actinopteri, Gadiformes, Gadidae.
CACAGCAGGACAUACAUAAAGUUGCUGCCCACACAUCAGCUGCUCUUGAACAGGCCUCUGCCCAGAUCUCUGGCAACAUUCAAAGUCAAUUCGAACGGGAUCAUGCACUCCUGCGUGCUGUGGAGGAGUUGAAGGCCUUGGUGAGGCAGAACAACCUCCUCCUCCAGGCCCUUACUAGGCAAAAAACUACAGCAGCAGCAGCAGCAGACACUCUAUCUGAGGAAUUUAAGUUCCCAAUGAACUGCGAGGAAGACCUUCAAAGGGUGGAGGAUUUUCUGAGGGAGAAAUCCCAGGAAAAGGCCCUGGCAGCACACCUUAGUGCGCUUGGGGGCUGCAAUCCUGGUGACGAGGUUCGAAGAAUCCUUCGCCACAUCCUCACCAACCACUUCGCGCUGAAAUUCAACUGGCUUGGCAGAGGAGGGAAGAAGCAGGCUUUUGCCUCCUACAAGGUGUGCAAUGCAGUAAGAGGUGCAUCGGCUAGCCAGAACAUUUCGGCCAGCGACUGCGAGGCAGUUAUUAAAAACUGGCUGAAGUGCAGCGGUGACCGGAGUGACGGAAGAAAGAGGAGAGAAAGCAGAGUCCAUGAAGGUCCCCAGCAGUUCAGUCUUCCUCCUCCGAGUCCUUCACCGGUCAUCCUGGAUGAUACAACUAGCAGCGACAGUGACGACGACUGCAGCAG